UACAUCCUCUACCAGCUGAGCCAGCCAGGCGCCUCAUGCUUUGGAUACACCCACCCAUCUUGGUGGUGGGCCACUUGGAGGAAUGAAGGGAGAGGACUGGCAUAUAAUGGGCAAGAGGGCAAUAGCCAAAGGAACAGGAGACAAGCAGGCCGCAUCGUGGUCAGACCCAGGAGACGGAGAAGCCACCUGGAAACACUUGGAGAAACUGAAGUCUCAGGACUUCCCAAAGUGGUUGGAAAUGAGGCGGGGACCAUUUUUUGUAUUGAAAGAAUGACCUUUAAACAUUAAAUUGUUUGGAGUUUC
This is a long non-coding RNA of Suricata suricatta (meerkat), 303 nucleotides long. RefSeq lists it as uncharacterized. Lineage: Eukaryota; Metazoa; Chordata; Mammalia; Carnivora; Herpestidae. The transcript is spliced from 2 exons. The record is from RefSeq and is a predicted model, not a curated record.